Pan troglodytes (chimpanzee) is the source of this 80-nucleotide non-coding RNA. Lineage: Eukaryota; Metazoa; Chordata; Mammalia; Primates; Hominidae. The record is from Rfam.
GGUACUUGGAGAGUGGUUAUCCCUGUCCUGUUCGUUUUGCUCAUGUCGAAUCGUACAGGGUCAUCCACUUUUUCAGUAUC